RNAcentral lists this ribosomal RNA (868 nucleotides) under Alteromonadales bacterium. RNAcentral's name for it is "bacterial SSU rRNA". It matches the Rfam family "Bacterial small subunit ribosomal RNA", at positions 617 to 1484 of the family's 1533-position model. The record is from RNAcentral. Lineage: Bacteria; Pseudomonadati; Pseudomonadota; Gammaproteobacteria; Alteromonadales.
GGAACUGCAUUUGAAACUGGUUGACUAGAGUUUUGUAGAGGGUGGUAGAAUUUCAGGUGUAGCGGUGAAAUGCGUAGAGAUCUGAAGGAAUACCAGUGGCGAAGGCGGCCACCUGGACAAAGACUGACACUGAGGCGCGAAGGCGUGGGGAGCAAACGGGAUUAGAUACCCCGGUAGUCCACGCAGUAAACGAUGUCUAUUAGAAGUUUGUGGCCAUAUGCCGUGGGUUUCAAAGCUAACGCAUUAAAUAGACCGCCUGGGGAGUACGGCCGCAAGGUUAAAACUCAAAUGAAUUGACGGGGGCCCGCACAAGCGGUGGAGCAUGUGGUUUAAUUCGAUGCAACGCGAAGAACCUUACCAUCCCUUGACAUCCAGAGAAUCACCUAGAGAUAGAUGAGUGCCUUCGGGAACUCUGAGACAGGUGCUGCAUGGCUGUCGUCAGCUCGUGUUGUGAAAUGUUGGGUUAAGUCCCGCAACGAGCGCAACCCUUAUCCUUAGUUGCCAGCACGUAAUGGUGGGAACUCUAGGGAGACUGCCGGUGAUAAACCGGAGGAAGGUGGGGACGACGUCAAGUCAUCAUGGCCCUUACGGGAUGGGCUACACACGUGCUACAAUGGCGAAUACAAAGGGUUGCUAACCUGCGAGGGUAUGCGAAUCUCAUAAAGUUUGUCGUAGUCCGGAUCGGAGUCUGCAACUCGACUCCGUGAAGUUGGAAUCGCUAGUAAUCGUGGAUCAGAAUGCCACGGUGAAUACGUUCCCGGGCCUUGUACACACCGCCCGUCACACCAUGGGAGUGGGCUGCACCAGAAGUCAUUAGCUUAACCUUCGGGAUGGCGAUGACCACGGUGUGGUUCAUGACUGGGGUGAA